Molecule: small RNA, 46 nt
Filed under: Urbifossiella limnaea
Lineage: Bacteria; Pseudomonadati; Planctomycetota; Planctomycetia; Gemmatales; Gemmataceae
Description: Acido-Lenti-1 RNA
Rfam family: Acido-Lenti-1 RNA
Source: Rfam by way of RNAcentral
CCCAGGGUUGACACCCUGGGCUAUUGGCUGCCGCCCCUUCGGAGCU